Molecule: ribosomal RNA, 520 nt
Filed under: uncultured Archaeospora
Lineage: Eukaryota; Fungi; Glomeromycota; Glomeromycetes; Archaeosporales; Archaeosporaceae
Description: SSU rRNA
Rfam family: Eukaryotic small subunit ribosomal RNA
Source: RNAcentral
AGCAGCCGCGGUAAUUCCAGCUCCAAUAGCGUAUAUUAAAGUUGUUGCAGUUAAAAGCUCGUAGUUGAAUUUUAGGCCUGGCCGGGCGGUCCGUCUUUGGCGAGUACUGUCCUGUGUCGGGUCCACCUUCUGGUGAACCAGUAUGUCCUUUAUUGGGUGUUUUGGGGAGCCAGGACCAUUACCUUGAAAAAUUAGAGUGUUUAAAGCAGGCAUUUGCUUGAAUAGAUUAGCAUGGAAUAAUAGAGUAGGACGUUGUGGUUCUAUUUUGUUGGUUUCUAGGACCACCGUAAUGAUUAAUAGGGAUAGUUGGGGGCAUUAGUAUUCAAUUGUCAGAGAUGAAAUUCUUGGAUUUAUUGAAGACUAACUAUUGCGAAAGCAUUUGCCAAGGAUGUUUUCAUUAAUCAAGAACGAAAGUUAGGGGAUCGAAGACGAUCAGAUACCGUCGUAGUCUUAACCAUAAACUAUGCCGACUAGGAAUCGGGCGACGUAUUUUCAUGACUCGCUCGGCGCCUUAUGGGAA